GACGAACGCUGGCGGCGUGCUUAACACAUGCAAGUCGAACGGUGAAGCGCCUUCCUUUUUGGUGGGUGUGGAUGAGUGGCGAACGGGUGAGUAACACGUGAGUAACCUGCCCCCUUCUUCUGGAUAACCGCAUGAAAGUGUGGCUAAUACGGGAUAUUCUGGGUCUGUCGCAUGAUGGGUCUGGGAAAGAUCUUGUUUCGGUGGGGGAUGGGCUCGCGGCCUAUCAGCUUGUUGGUGGGGUGAUGGCCUACCAAGGCGGUGACGGGUAGCCGGCCUGAGAGGGUGGACGGUCACAGGGGGACUGAGACGCGGCCGAGACUCGUACGGGAGGCAGCAGUGGGGAAUAUUGCACAAUGGGAGCAAGCCUGAUGCAGCGACGCCGCGUGAGGGAUGGAGGCCUUCGGGUUGUGAACCUCUUUCGCCAGUGAAGCAGGCCUGCCUCGUUUGUGGGUGGGUUGACGGUAGCUGGAGAAGAAGCGCCGGCUAACUACGUG
This 494-nucleotide ribosomal RNA is filed under the name uncultured bacterium. Its description in RNAcentral is "partial 16S ribosomal RNA". It matches the Rfam family "Bacterial small subunit ribosomal RNA", at positions 28 to 507 of the family's 1533-position model. The record is from RNAcentral.